GUGGGGAAUAUUGGGCAAUGGGGGCAACCCUGACCCAGCGACGCCGCGUGGGUGAAGAAAUCCCUCGGGAUGUAAAGCCCUGUUGUAUGGGAAGAGCAGGAGACGGUACCAUACGAGGAAGCCCCGGCAAACUACGUGCCAUCAGCCGCGGUAAUACGUAGGGGGCAAGCGUUGUCCGGAAUUACUGGGCGUAAAGCGCACGCAGGCUGAAUUAUAAGUCGGUAGUCAAAUACGGAGGCUCAACUUCCGGAUAUCUAUCGAUACUGUAAAUAUAGAGUAUGUGAGAGGGGAGCGGAAUUCCCGGUGUAGCAGUGAAAUGCGUAGAUAUCGGGAGGAACACCAGUGGCGAAGGCGGCUUCCUGGCACAAUACUUACGCUCAUGUGCGAAAGCUAGGGCAGCGAACGGGAUUAGAAACCCCAGUAGUCC
RNAcentral lists this ribosomal RNA (427 nucleotides) under uncultured bacterium. Its description in RNAcentral is "partial 16S ribosomal RNA". It matches the Rfam family "Bacterial small subunit ribosomal RNA", at positions 354 to 796 of the family's 1533-position model. The record is from RNAcentral.